Cristinia sonorae is the source of this 126-nucleotide non-coding RNA. The record is from the annotation of a GenBank genome assembly. NCBI's taxonomy places the organism in Eukaryota, Fungi, Basidiomycota, Agaricomycetes, Agaricales, Stephanosporaceae.
GCUGAUAUGGCCGAGUCGUUAAGGCGAGUGAUUUGAAUUAUUAUCGUCACGUGACUCAUUUGUCACGUGACACGGUUCACUAUCACUUGGGAUUUUCCCGCGUAGGUUCAAAUCCUGCUGUCAGCG